AUGAGUGGCGAACGGGUGAGUAACACGUGAGUAACCUGCCCUCUUCUUUGGGAUAACGCCCGGAAAACGGGUGCUAAUACUGGAUAUUCACUGAUCUUCGCAUGGGGGUUGGUGGAAAGGUUUUUUCUGGUGGGGGAUGGGCUCGCGGCCUAUCAGCUUGUUGGUGGGGUGAUGGCCUACCAAGGCUUUGACGGGUAGCCGGCCUGAGAGGGUGACCGGUCACAUUGGGACUGAGAUACGGCCCAG
This 246-nucleotide ribosomal RNA is filed under the name uncultured bacterium. Its description in RNAcentral is "partial 16S ribosomal RNA". It matches the Rfam family "Bacterial small subunit ribosomal RNA", at positions 91 to 334 of the family's 1533-position model. The record is from RNAcentral.